RNAcentral lists this transfer RNA (85 nucleotides) under Chitinophagaceae bacterium. RNAcentral's name for it is "tRNA-Thr". It matches the Rfam family "tRNA". Rfam says of the family: Transfer RNA (tRNA) molecules are approximately 80 nucleotides in length. Their secondary structure includes four short double-helical elements and three loops (D, anti-codon, and T loops). Lineage: Bacteria; Pseudomonadati; Bacteroidota; Chitinophagia; Chitinophagales; Chitinophagaceae. The record is from RNAcentral.
GCCGAGUUCGCUUAGUGGUCGAGAGCACCUGACUUGUAAUCAGGAUGGAGUAAUCCACACGUGAGUUCAAAUCUCACACUCGGCU